Molecule: ribosomal RNA, 721 nt
Filed under: uncultured bacterium
Lineage: Bacteria
Description: bacterial SSU rRNA
Rfam family: Bacterial small subunit ribosomal RNA
Source: RNAcentral
CAAUACUUUGAGAGUGGCGAACGGGUGAGUAAUGCAUCGGAACAUGCCCAACUGUGGGGGAUAACGUAGCGAAAGUUACGCUAAUACCGCAUACGAUCUACGGAUGAAAGCGGGGGACCGUAAGGCCUCGCGCAGUUGGAGUGGCUGAUGUCAGAUUAGCUAGUUGGUAGGGUAAAAGCCUACCAAGGCAACGAUCUGUAGCUGGUCUGAGAGGAUGACCAGCCACACUGGGACUGAGACACGGCCCAGACUCCUACGGGAGGCAGCAGUGGGGAAUUUUGGACAAUGGACGAAAGUCUGAUCCAGCAAUGCCGCGUGCAGGACGAAGGCCUUCGGGUUGUAAACUGCUUUUGUACGGAACGAAAAAGUUCUUUUUAAUAAAGAGGGCUUAUGACGGUACCGUAAGAAUAAGCACCGGCUAACUACGUGCCAGCAGCCGCGGUAAUACGUAGGGUGCAAGCGUUAAUCGGAAUUACUGGGCGUAAAGCGUCCGCAGGCGGUUCUAUAAGACAGAUGUGAAAUCCCUGGGCUCAACCUAGGAACUGCAUUUGUGACUGUAGAGCUAGAGUACGGCAGAGGGGGAUGGAAUUCCGCGUGUAGCAGUGAAAUGCGUAGAUAUGCGGAGGAACACCGAUGGCGAAGGCAAUCCCCUGGGCCUGUACUGACGCUCAUGGACGAUAGCGUGGAGAGCAAACAGGAUUAGAUACCCUGGUAGUCCACG